UCCCUGGUGGUCCAGUGGCUAAGACUACACACUCCCAAUGCAGAGGCCCCAGGUUCGACCCCUGGUCAGGGAA
This is a non-coding RNA of Bos taurus (domestic cattle), 73 nucleotides long. The record is from Rfam. Lineage: Eukaryota; Metazoa; Chordata; Mammalia; Artiodactyla; Bovidae.